CCCUUAGAUGUCCUGGGCUGCACGCGCGCUACACUGAUGUGUCCAGUAAGCACCUAACCUCUUCCGAAAGGAACGGGUAACCUUUGCAAAGCACAUCGUGAUGGGGAUAGAUUAUUGCAAUUAUUAGUCUUGAACGAGGAAUUCCUAGUAAGCACAAGUCAUCAGCUUGUGUUGAUUACGUCCCUGCCCUUUGUACACACCGCCCGUCGCUCCUACCGAUUGAAUGUUCCGGUGAGCUCUUCGGACUGCGCGGUCUGCAGUUUCUGCGUUCCGUGCGGGAAGUUGCGCAAACCUUAACAUUUAGAGGAAGGAGAAGUCGUAACA
This 324-nucleotide ribosomal RNA is filed under the name uncultured eukaryote. Its description in RNAcentral is "partial 18S ribosomal RNA". It matches the Rfam family "Eukaryotic small subunit ribosomal RNA", at positions 1470 to 1796 of the family's 1831-position model. The record is from RNAcentral.